RNAcentral lists this ribosomal RNA (424 nucleotides) under uncultured bacterium. RNAcentral's name for it is "bacterial SSU rRNA". It matches the Rfam family "Bacterial small subunit ribosomal RNA", at positions 354 to 796 of the family's 1533-position model. The record is from RNAcentral.
GUGGGGAAUAUUGCACAAUGGGCGAAAGCCUGAUGCAGCAACGCCGCGUGAGCGAUGAAGGCCUUCGGGUCGUAAAGCUCUGUCCUCAAGGAAGAUAAUGACGGUACUUGAGGAGGAAGCCCCGGCUAACUACGUGCCAGCAGCCGCGGUAAUACGUAGGGGGCUAGCGUUAUCCGGAUUUACUGGGCGUAAAGGGUGCGUAGGCGGUCUUUUAAGUCAGGAGUGAAAGGCUACGGCUCAACCGUAGUAAGCUCUUGAAACUGGAGGACUUGAGUGCAGGAGAGGAGAGUGGAAUUCCUAGUGUAGCGGUGAAAUGCGUAGAUAUUAGGAGGAACACCAGUAGCGAAGGCGGCUCUCUGGACUGUAACUGACGCUGAGGCACGAAAGCGUGGGGAGCAAACAGGAUUAGAAACCCUAGUAGUCC